UGAGCCUGGAAAAACCGACCGAGUUCGUUGUGCGCUCGUAAAACAACAAGUUGGGUUGUGAGCUUGUAAAACAACCGGCUGUAAUCUGUAGGAUUAUAGUGAAAUUUCCAAGAGGUCUUGGGGAGUGGAUGUAGGUGCUGGGAUGCACCGAACCACUAUAUGUUUGUUGUGUUUGUAAUGCCUCUUGUCAUUGUCUAACUAACACACUUACUUAGAUAGAUUGCUUGCUUAACUGUUAUCCGCGCAUCCUUUAGUUGCAAGCAUAUUCAAUCAAGUCACAUUCUAUACA
Molecule: long non-coding RNA, 289 nt
Filed under: Phoenix dactylifera (date palm)
Lineage: Eukaryota; Viridiplantae; Streptophyta; Magnoliopsida; Arecales; Arecaceae
Description: long non-coding RNA (PDAC_LNC002780)
Source: RNAcentral